Oncorhynchus tshawytscha (Chinook salmon) is the source of this 1055-nucleotide long non-coding RNA. RefSeq lists it as uncharacterized. The transcript has 2 exons. Lineage: Eukaryota; Metazoa; Chordata; Actinopteri; Salmoniformes; Salmonidae. The record is from RefSeq and is a predicted model, not a curated record.
AAGGCCGGGCUCGCUCCUGCCUGUGGACGUCAUACGUCAUCAGCCGCCUUUUGGCUAUUACGUUCAUUUUACUACUAGUUAAAGUAAGCUGAUCAGAAUGGCUAACAUAUUGCAUCGGAAACAGUUUUUAAAGUAGAUUUUCUAGCUUAACCGGGGGUGAUAAGGAAUGGAAGACCAACACCUGAGCUUAGGAACCGACAUCAAAGGAAGGGACAGAAAAUAAUCGGAUCAUUUCAAUCUGAUUGAUAUCAACGGAAAGACUGGCUCUGUGGCUGCGCUGCUAGCAGCCAACUCUACCGCUUCCCGUCUGCUGUUCUCCACCAGCGACAGCGUGCGGACAAGAGACAGCUACUGCCUAUAGCACUCAACAAGCAUGUGAAAUCGGUGUCUCACAUCCAAAGCCAGAUAGCUCUUAAGACAUUUCACGGAUAGAUCUGGCAUUGAAUGAACAACGGAGAUUGAGCAUCAGCAUGCACAAGGCCAAGAACAAAGUGAUGGAUAUGAGUUUCUGCAGCGACAAGACUUUGAUAGUUUCUAUGAGUGAUUCGAGCAGAAACGCAAUGAACUGGGCCUGGCAGAAAGCGAAACUCGUAGUAAACGGGGUGAAUUUACUACAACAUACUGGACAAUAACAAUGUUCAGAUGAGAGCCAGGUUUGAGCACUUUGGUGAACUUAAUUUCCUUGGCUUAGUGACCUGGAAUAAAAUCUAAACAAUGUCGCAAAAGUUUGACACCAGCAAACGAGAACCUGUCCAAAUAUGCCAAGUAUUUGUUAGACUUAAGGCUGAUCUUGUUGGAUUGUACAGUUCACAAAUGGUACGAGACAAAUCCCAGAGGUGACAAAGUUAAUGCAGCUGGUUCUCACUAUACCAGCCACAACAGCAUCCAGUCAAAAAGGACGACUUUCAUCCCUUGCCAUCAUCUCCAUCGCAUCGAGACCCGAGAUACUUAUUAUUAUUUAUUUUUUUGUCACUUUUUAUUGGUAUUUCCUUUCACAGUUACAGUAAACAAUGUUUGAAAUACAUUACAUUAAACUUGUUGUUUUAUACAUUCAA